RNAcentral lists this ribosomal RNA (474 nucleotides) under uncultured bacterium. RNAcentral describes it as "bacterial SSU rRNA". It matches the Rfam family "Bacterial small subunit ribosomal RNA", at positions 28 to 472 of the family's 1533-position model. The record is from RNAcentral.
GACGAACGCNGGCGGCGUGCUUAACACAUGCAAGUCGAACGAAGAGCGAUGGAAGCUUGCUUCUAUCAAUCUUAGUGGCGAACGGGUGAGUAACGCGUAAUCAACCUGCCCUUCAGAGGGGGACAACAGUUGGAAACGACUGCUAAUACCGCAUACGAUCUAAUCUCGGCAUCGAGGAUAGAUGAAAGGUGGCCUCUAUGUAUAAGCUAUCACUGAAGGAGGGGAUUGCGUCUGAUUAGCUAGUUGGAGGGGUAACGGCCCACCAAGGCGAUGAUCAGUAGCCGGUCUGAGAGGAUGAACGGCCACAUUGGGACUGAGACACGGCCCAGACUCCUACGGGAGGCAGCAGUGGGGAAUCUUCCGCAAUGGACGAAAGUCUGACGGAGCAACGCCGCGUGAGUGAUGACGGCCUUCGGGUUGUAAAGCUCUGUUAAUCGGGACGAAAGGCCUUCUUGCGAAUAGUGAGAAGGAUGA